UCCACAGGACAGACAGACCAGGAGUUGGGGU
RNAcentral lists this non-coding RNA (31 nucleotides) under Homo sapiens (human). The record is from RNAcentral. Lineage: Eukaryota; Metazoa; Chordata; Mammalia; Primates; Hominidae.